This 600-nucleotide ribosomal RNA is filed under the name Vibrio sp. HdiPB03. RNAcentral describes it as "bacterial SSU rRNA". It matches the Rfam family "Bacterial small subunit ribosomal RNA", at positions 71 to 656 of the family's 1533-position model. The record is from RNAcentral. Lineage: Bacteria; Pseudomonadati; Pseudomonadota; Gammaproteobacteria; Vibrionales; Vibrionaceae.
UUAUCUGAACCUUCGGGGAACGAUAACGGCGUCGAGCGGCGGACGGGUGAGUAAUGCCUAGGAAAUUGCCCUGAUGUGGGGGAUAACCAUUGGAAACGAUGGCUAAUACCGCAUGAUGCCUACGGGCCAAAGAGGGGGACCUUCGGGCCUCUCGCGUCAGGAUAUGCCUAGGUGGGAUUAGCUAGUUGGUGAGGUAAGGGCUCACCAAGGCGACGAUCCCUAGCUGGUCUGAGAGGAUGAUCAGCCACACUGGAACUGAGACACGGUCCAGACUCCUACGGGAGGCAGCAGUGGGGAAUAUUGCACAAUGGGCGCAAGCCUGAUGCAGCCAUGCCGCGUGUAUGAAGAAGGCCUUCGGGUUGUAAAGUACUUUCAGUCGUGAGGAAGGCGGUGUCGUUAAUAGCGGCUUCGUUUGACGUUAGCGACAGAAGAAGCACCGGCUAACUCCGUGCCAGCAGCCGCGGUAAUACGGAGGGUGCGAGCGUUAAUCGGAAUUACUGGGCGUAAAGCGCAUGCAGGUGGUUUGUUAAGUCAGAUGUGAAAGCCCGGGGCUCAACCUCGGAAUAGCAUUUGAAACUGGCAGACUAGAGUACUGUAGAG